This 118-nucleotide microRNA precursor is filed under the name Arabidopsis lyrata. RNAcentral's name for it is "miR4231 stem-loop (aly-MIR4231)". The record is from miRBase by way of RNAcentral. Lineage: Eukaryota; Viridiplantae; Streptophyta; Magnoliopsida; Brassicales; Brassicaceae.
AAUCAGGUCAUAAAGGCAGUUAGACCUUUGUGUUGCCAUCGUUCUUGGCGCUCGCUUCACCAAAAGCGCCAAGACCGAUGGCAACAAGGAGGUUUAACCGCCUUCUGAGCUGAUUUUU